GACGAACGCUGGCGGCGUGCCUAAUACAUGCAAGUGGGACGCAAGGGAACACACUGUGCUUGCACACCGUGUUUUCUUGAGUCGCGAACGGGUGAGUAACGCGUAGGUAACCUGCCUAUUAGCGGGGGAUAACUAUUGGAAACGAUAGCUAAUACCGCAUAAUAUUAAUUAUUGCAUGAUAAUUGAUUGAAAGAUGCAAGCGCAUCACUAGUAGAUGGACCUGCGUUGUAUUAGCUAGUUGGUAAGGUAAGAGCUUACCAAGGCGACGAUACAUAGCCGACCUGAGAGGGUGAUCGGCCACACUGGGACUGAGACACGGCCCAGACUCCUACGGGAGGCAGCAGUAGGGAAUCUUCGGCAAUGGACGAAAGUCUGACCGAGCAACGCCGCGUGAGUGAAGAAGGUUUUCGGAUCGUAAAGCUCUGUUGUAAGUCAAGAACGUGUGUGAGAGUGGAAAGUUCACACAGUGACGGAGCUACCAGAAAGGAC
This 489-nucleotide ribosomal RNA is filed under the name Streptococcus mutans. RNAcentral describes it as "bacterial SSU rRNA". It matches the Rfam family "Bacterial small subunit ribosomal RNA", at positions 28 to 493 of the family's 1533-position model. Lineage: Bacteria; Bacillati; Bacillota; Bacilli; Lactobacillales; Streptococcaceae. The record is from RNAcentral.